ACCACCAUCACCAUCUCAAUCGCCACCACCAUAAACAGCACCACCACCUCUGUUACUACCAUCACCAGAUCUGUUACAUUUUAUACAUUUGAUUUUAACUUGUUAUCACUUCUUAGGUUAAAAUUGAUUUUGAAAUCAGAUUUGUUUUCUUGGUUUUCGAUUUCAUAAUAUUGAGUUGAAGAUUCAAACUAACGAUCACGUUUUCAAUUUUCAGAUCUAAAAAAUUUAUGAUACGGUUUGAAAUCGAUUUUCGAAGAUAUUAGGUGUAAAGAUGAAAUCCAAUCGACAGGAAGAUUAAAUCAAAAGUGAUUGAAUGUCAUGUGCUUUCAGCCUCUUGGCAUCUAAAUAUCGCCCAUGUGGAGUUUGUAAGGAUGUUGUCAGUAUUCUAGAUAUACAUAACCUUACACAUCAGGUGCUUAGAGUCAUUGUCAAGAAUAACAAAGGCGGAAUGUUCUCACCUUUGCAAGACUCGGACGAUUUCAGUAUUGCAUUCUCUACAGCUUUGGCUGGACUUCUUAGCUUGUCUAUUUAGGACCUAACUCAAACCGUCACAUGCUUUUGGAUUCUUGCGAUGUUAUAUAUGCUUUGUGGAUUAGUAGAGUGAUUUCUUGGUCUUAUGCAAUGCAGGAGACUCAUAUAUUGAUUUACAAAUAUUGAUGACAUCCCAAUAAACAGUGCAAAAUUAGCCUUCGAAAAAGCUAUAUUUGCAAAAACACAUAAGGCAAAUGCUCGGACUGAAGGUAAUUUCAUGUACAAUUUUAUAGUAUUCUUAUUUACAUGUUCAGUAAAAAGUUUUUUUGGAGUUAUCUCAUUCUUGAAAUUAUUAGCUUUUGCAUGCUAGUGCAGUCUCUUUAGAUGUAAAAGGCUGUUUUAAUUGACACUGUAAAUGCUUAUCUAUUUGGACUUUAACUUCUUAUGUCUACACAAGUACUAAGAUCAGUGGAUAGAGAGUUGUCCACUGAUCAGUGGACAUUGACAUUAGUAUUAGUUUUGGACAUUGCUCCUGAAGAAGCUUUAUCUAUUAAUGCAGUCGUAGUUAUAGUCUUUGGCAGGUAUCUUAUGUGUACUCAAGUUUGUUUGAGUGGUUGUUUGCUUCUUGCGAUAGAUCAAUGAUCAAGUUUUCUUUAAGUGGUUUUUAACAAAUCUGUGGUGCAAAUGGUAGCACAAAUUCCCACGACCAACGACUCCUAAUGCCACACCCAGUAGGUACUUACCAUCAUAAUUCAUACUUCAUAUAAAUUAUUCACAAUAUCUAUCUUAUUUCUUUUAAAAGCUAUCUUCUGUUAGCAAGCAAGUUUUUGUGUUCAACCAUGCUUGAGGAUUGGGAAACAGAUAGAAAAUGCUCACUGGGGAGACUAAUUUUCCAUUAUUCUCACGAGCUUAUUUAAGCUCAGUUUACAGGGAAUAAACAUUAUAUCCAACUAUUCAUCCACUUAUGUUUUACUUUUCAGUAGUAAUUUGAAUAGUUGUAGACAAGCCUUUUAAAAUGUUUUUACAUGCCUUCACAUAUAAUAACAUGUCCCUUCUGAGUAUAUUUGUAUAUAUGUCGCUAUGUCUGUUGGGGUACAUCGUGUAAACUAAAGUGGCUCAUUUUGUUGAA
Molecule: long non-coding RNA, 1600 nt
Organism: Papaver somniferum (opium poppy)
Lineage: Eukaryota; Viridiplantae; Streptophyta; Magnoliopsida; Ranunculales; Papaveraceae
Exons: 3
Source: RefSeq, a predicted model, not a curated record